AAAUUGAAGAGUUUGAUCAUGGCUCAGAUUGAACGCUGGCGGCAGGCCUAACACAUGCAAGUCGAACGGUAACAGAAAGCAGCUUGCUGCUUUGCUGACGAGUGGCGGACGGGUGAGUAAUGUCUGGGAAACUGCCUGAUGGAGGGGGAUAACUACUGGAAACGGUAGCUAAUACCGCAUAACGUCGCAAGACCAAAGAGGGGGACCUUCGGGCCUCUUGCCAUCGGAUGUGCCCAGAUGGG
This 242-nucleotide ribosomal RNA is filed under the name Escherichia coli. RNAcentral's name for it is "partial 16S ribosomal RNA". It matches the Rfam family "Bacterial small subunit ribosomal RNA", at positions 1 to 239 of the family's 1533-position model. The record is from RNAcentral. Lineage: Bacteria; Pseudomonadati; Pseudomonadota; Gammaproteobacteria; Enterobacterales; Enterobacteriaceae.